Molecule: long non-coding RNA, 1333 nt
Organism: Bacillus rossius redtenbacheri
Lineage: Eukaryota; Metazoa; Arthropoda; Insecta; Phasmatodea; Bacillidae
Exons: 2
Source: RefSeq, a predicted model, not a curated record
CAUUUGUAGUUACUUUCCCUGUUAUUUUAAUUCAUAUGGUUUUUUUUUCCUAAUUUGUGUAUGUGAAUGUGAAAAAGCGGUAAAUAUGUAUUGUACGGAUUAGCGCCAAAAAAAAUCGUACAAAUAUGAAAUAACUUUCAUUAUAUGCUAUCUUACGUCCUCUCUUCAGAACCGCCUGCGGAGAUAAAAAAUUCCAAUUACUUUAGGAGAUAUCGAAUUUUUUAAUCUUCAUUUUUUGGCGAUUUUUUUUAAAAAAAAAUUUAAAAAUCCGAAAAUACCUUUAUUCUGUGCUCUUAAACUUCCUCUUUUCAUUAAACCCGGCUGAGAUAAGAAAUUCCAAAUACUUUUGGAGAUAUCGAAUUUUUUAAUUUUCAUCCUGUGCACUCGUGCGACGAUAACGGUUGCUUGUUUACAAGUAUCAUUUUUUUUUUUUGCGAUGUUCCCGAACGGAGAAAAACCUAAGAUGCACAUAAAGUUCUGCCAUUCCCGAUUACACCCGAACAAUUCACCUUCGGCCAACCUCGGGUUUAUUUAUUAAUAUUUCUCUGUUUAUUUUAAUGUAGCUAUACUAACCUAACUAACCAUCCAAAUGGUUUUAAAGUGUUUUAAUGUAGCUAACCUAUCCGACCACUUUUAAAAUUCCAAUUCAUUUUUCCUGCGCAAAAAUAAAUAAAUCCCGAGGUUGGCCGAAGGUGAAUAUUCGGGUGUAAUCGGGAAUGGCCGAACUUUAUGUGGAUCUUAGGACUCUCACGUGAACGAAUACAUCAUGUAAAAAGAAACUUACGUCCCUCUCCAGCGCCUGGAGGGUCUUGGUGGCGACCGGCUCCGCCAGCAUCUCGUCCAGGUCGACCUCGUCGCUCCGCGCCUGCUUCAGGAGCCCCGCGGGCACCCCCAGCGGGUUGAAGCCCGGCUCGUCCAGCAGCUCCUCGAAGAGGGGCGUUAUCCUGUCGUCUGGGUCGUAGCCCUGCGACCACGACCACCGAGAACCACCCGUCACAACACUGUUCCGAGAUCACCAACCACCAAGAACAAGCUGUCAGGGUACUUAUAACGUAACACUGUUCUGAUAUCACCAACCUGUUUUGUGCGAGUAAAUGUGCAUGCAUCACCUAUCAACUUCUUGCUCCCGCUGAAACCAUUUCGAUGAAAUUAAACGUGUAGGUUUUUUUUUCAGCUUACAAAUUUGACUUUUGUAUUGUGCGUGUGACGUGCGCAUGCGAACACUUGCACCUCACUUAAGCCCUAAAAGACAAGCUGCACAACUUAAGUAUCUCGAAAAAUCAUGUCACACAAAAAUGUACACUAAAACACAAUAAAAAUUUUAUGAAUAUGA